Molecule: ribosomal RNA, 1311 nt
Filed under: uncultured bacterium
Lineage: Bacteria
Description: partial 16S ribosomal RNA
Rfam family: Bacterial small subunit ribosomal RNA
Source: RNAcentral
UUAGUGGCGGACGGGUGAGUAACACGUGGGUAAUCUGCCUUUGAGAUUGGGACAACAGUUAGAAAUGACUGCUAAUACCGAAUAAGAUAGAUGAAUGAAUUUUAUGUAUUGAAAGGUGCCUUUAAAGCAUCACUCAAAGAUGAGCCUGCGGCGUAUUAGUUAGUUGGUGGGGUAAAGGCCUACCAAGACGACGAUGCGUAGCCGAACUGAGAGGUUGAUCGGCCACAUUGGGACUGAGACACGGCCCAAACUCCUACGGGAGACAGCAGUUAGGAAUAUUCGUCAAUGGGGGAAACCCUGAACGAGCAAUGCCGCGUGAGUGAAGAAGGUCCUAUGGAUUGUAAAACUCUGUUGUAUGAGAAGAACACUAAGUAUAGGAAAUGAUGCUUAGCUGACGGUAUCAUGCGAGAAAGCCCCGGCUAACUACGUGCCAGCAGCCGCGGUAAUACGUAGGGGGCGAGCGUUAUCCGGAUUUAUUGGGCGUAAAGCGUGUGUAGGCGGUUUAUUAAGUAUAAGAUUAAAGCCUGGAGCUUAACUCCAGUUCGUCUUAUAAACUGGUAGACUUGAGUAUGGUAGAGGCAAAUGGAACUUCUAGUGUAGCGGUAAAAUGCGUAGAUAUUAGAAAGAACACCAGUGGCGAAGGCGAUUUGCUGGGCCAUUACUGACGCUGAGACACGAAAGCGUGGGGAGCAAAUAGGAUUAGAUACCCUAGUAGUCCACGCUGUAAACGAUGAGUACUAAGUGUUGGGGAUUCCCAGUGCUGAAGUUAACACAUUAAGUACUCCGCCUGAGUAGUACGGUCGCAAGGUUGAAACUCAAAGGAAUUGACGGGAGCCCGCACAAGCAGUGGAGUAUGUGGUUUAAUUCGAUGCAACGCGAAGAACCUUACCAGGACUUGACAUCCCGAGAACCCGGCGUAAUGGCGGGGGUGCCCCUUCGGGGGAAUUCGGAGACAGGUGGUGCAUGGUUGUCGUCAGCUCGUGUCGUGAGAUGUUGGGUUAAGUCCCGCAACGAGCGCAACCCUUACGGUCAGUUGCUACGCAAGAGCACUCUGGCCGGACUGCCGUUGACAAAACGGAGGAAGGCGGGGACGACGUCAAAUCAUCAUGCCCCUUACGUUCUGGGCUACACACGUACUACAAUGGCAUCUAACAAAGGGCAGCGAAGGCGCGAGCCGGAGCCAAUCUCCAAAAGAUGUCUCAGUUCAGACUGCAGGCUGCAACUCGCCUGCACGAAGUCGGAAUUGCUAGUAAUCGCAGAUCAGCAUGCUGCGGUGAAUACGUUCCCGGGCUUUGCACACACCGCCCGUCA